RNAcentral lists this ribosomal RNA (482 nucleotides) under uncultured bacterium. RNAcentral describes it as "bacterial SSU rRNA". It matches the Rfam family "Bacterial small subunit ribosomal RNA", at positions 30 to 505 of the family's 1533-position model. The record is from RNAcentral.
AUUGAACGCUGGCGGCAGGCCUAACACAUGCAAGUCGAGCGGAUGAGUGGAGCUUGCUCCAUGAUUCAGCGGCGGACGGGUGAGUAAUGCCUAGGAAUCUGCCUGGUAGUGGGGGACAACGUUUCGAAAGGAACGCUAAUACCGCAUACGUCCUACGGGAGAAAGUGGGGGAUCUUCGGACCUCACGCUAUCAGAUGAGCCUAGGUCGGAUUAGCUAGUUGGUGAGGUAAAGGCUCACCAAGGCGACGAUCCGUAACUGGUCUGAGAGGAUGAUCAGUCACACUGGAACUGAGACACGGUCCAGACUCCUACGGGAGGCAGCAGUGGGGAAUAUUGGACAAUGGGCGAAAGCCUGAUCCAGCCAUGCCGCGUGUGUGAAGAAGGUCUUCGGAUUGUAAAGCACUUUAAGUUGGGAGGAAGGGCAGUAAGUUAAUACCUUGCUGUUUUGACGUUACCAACAGAAUAAGCACCGGCUAACUUCG